Molecule: long non-coding RNA, 3038 nt
Organism: Carassius gibelio (silver crucian carp)
Lineage: Eukaryota; Metazoa; Chordata; Actinopteri; Cypriniformes; Cyprinidae
Exons: 2
Source: RefSeq, a predicted model, not a curated record
AUAUAUAUAUAUAUAAUAAAAUUAGAGAACAAUCAAUAAAUAUUUUAUUCAAAAUUUGAAUGUCAGAUAUAGGUAUACCACAGUUCUAACAUGUUUGAAAAAAUAUCCAAGGCAUUUCAACCAAAACAAAAUUGUGAGGCCCUUGCUUUGAAUGACUACACUUCUUUUGUAAUAUUUACUUUGCUAGUUUCAGCUUUUGGUUUGUUUGAACAGAUUUCAGGCAAGAGAGGUGGACCCAAGCUGGGUUAGUCAACAUUGUUUUGGUGCUCCGCUUUACCUCCACAGAUUACCUUCCUUACCUUACCUUAGACUUCACAAUAACUCGAGCAGAGGUCACAAUCAAGCCCUUUAACUUUCAUUCCGGGAAGAGUAAAUAUCUACAAUCAUCCUGUGAAAUUGUGCAUCACAAAUCUGCUAAACAACAGACAGGCAGCUCUUUUUAAAUCAGUCUGUCGAUGACAUAACCCCCUUUAUCAAAAGGCUGGGAAUUUGCCUGAGACAAUCCGAUUUGGAGUUUAAAAUUCAAGACAAACCCUACCCAUAGUCCUCAAAGAGCUUACAAUUUUUUUUUUUUUUAUGCUGCACUAAAUUGAUGAGCAGUUUCAUGAAGGAAGUCGAGCUUUAAAUGGAGAUUAUAAAAUCUAAAAAACAAUCCAUCUGACAGAGUGUACCUCUUGCAGAUGUGCCCAUGUGUAUUUGUCAGAAAGAUGAGUUCACAUUUUCACAUGACAGACAGCCGAGCACAGCGCCACUCCGGCUCUGAGCUCUUAUGUAAGAGGACAGCAUUGGCCCAGCAGCACAGAAUAUACAAGAACAUUCCAGUGAUGUAACCCAUCUGGCCCUUUGUCUACAACUGUGUCAGAGUGUAAUUGUGCAUCUGUGUGUUGAAAAUCAGUGCAAAACACCUCAACAGCUGGAUCCACUCAGCGCACGGCUCAAAAUGAGAUCAUAACUGUUCUGACAACCAUUAAAUUGAAGAUUUAGUAAGAGGCUCAUCAAUCCGAAACAGUCAUUACCACUGACACGCCAAUCAAAGCAAGAUCAGCAUGCAAUUUAAAAGUUGUAUCUGUUCUACAAAAGAGCUGCCUGUACGAAGCUGGAUAUUAAAUAUUGUGAUGGCAAAACUGACUUUUCAGCAGCCAUAACUCCAGUCUUGAAUGAUCCUGAAGAAAUCAUUAAAAUAUACCAACAUUGGGCUAUUCUUCAGGAUUCUUUGAUGGAUAGAAAGUUCAAAAGAACAGCAUUUAUUUGAUAUAAAAAGAAAGAGUAAUUAAUACAAAUAAUAAUAAAAAAAUCUUACUGACCCAAUCUUUAGAACAGCAGUUUCCAUGUAAUAUUACUUUACUUACUGCAUAAAAAAUAUAAUCUUAAUCAUUUGCUGUACUUACAGACUGCACUUAUUUAGACUUCUGGGGAAGGAGUAGGACAGGAUUGAGAGAGUGUCUUGGCUAUGCUAUCUUCAAAUGUAAGCAAAAGCAUCUGCUUGAACUUAUACAGUUUAAAGGUUCUGGUUCAUUGUUGUCAAUAACUCAAUACAUCUUUUUUUCUUAUGACGCUCUCGAGAGAGUCGUCAGACUCAGAAAACCCACCAUGAUCAAUGAGCCAAGCCAUGCACAUGGAAUUCAACUUCUCAUCGAAGAACUCCACUCCAUAGAAACAAGAGUUUACGGGAAUAAUUCACCCCUUUCUCAUUCUCAUUUUUCCAAAUCAGUCCAACCUUUAUGGAGCGUAGCAGGACAGCUCACCCAAAAAUGGAAAUUCUAUCAACAUUUACUCAGCCCUCAAGUUAUUCUAAACCUAUACAAGCAGUUGAUCUUGAGUGGAGCACAGACUAACCAGACGGCCAGAUGAUCAGAUGCAGACCAGAACACUAAAUGAAAAUAAAACAUUCAGAUUUAAAAUGAUAUAUAGACAUGCACUAUUAACAAAAGGAAUAACAUUAAAAAGUUUCAACACUGAUGAAACUUCCAUAAAAUGUCCAGCAUAUUAACUGUCAUGUUCAUUGUUUUUAUACUUUUAAAGCCCCAAAACUAUUUUACUGAAAGCAAAAGGUCUCCAUCUUUACAUUUCCCUGAAAUGGCUCCAGAAGGACGCCACACUCAUGUGAUAUUGUUACAGCGCACGCAUACAUGCUGCCAAAUAUUUGAUGACUUGCUUGAGCAAGUGCACUUUGGUGAUGACUGACUAAAAUCCAAACAACAAAGUUUGUUAGUCAAACAGAGCUGGACGGAUAAGCAGCCAAUGGAAAUACACUCCAGGACAGGAUUCACAGAAUCAAACUCUUGACAUUUUCUGAUCUUGUGUUUGACAAUUGAGAGGAGUCCAAUAAAACAGAAGGGAACACAAACACUGGAGGAAAGAGUUUGGAUGGACUUUGGUUUUGGCAUGGUCUUGCUGAAAUCUGAGGCCAAAGUUCAACGUCAUUUAAAAACUCUCUAAGAGUUUAUUACUACAAUCUAAAAGCUAAUACGUUUCAGAGAAUAGUCGUGAACAGGAGCCCAAUCAAAGGAACAUCCAUCAAGGACUUCAAUCAAGGAUAAUUUAGCAAACAGCCAUUAAGCCCAACACAAGGUGACCUAUCAGACCUGGAAAAUGAACAGCUGUGUCUCUGCUCUUGUACAGUCAGAAGGAUCUUUGACCACAAGAGAGCGAGAGACUGGGCCGAGCUCCAGGUGGGUUACCUCGUCCUUCAGCUGGACAAGGAAAAAAGGCAGCAAAUGUUCUACGCUGCCCAAGAUGGUAGACAGACCCAUGAUGACAGAAGCCAGGACAGACUUCACAUGCUGGUUUGUGUCAGCUCCUGUUAAGGGAAGUGAAGGAGGCUUGAGGCCUUUGAAAUCAAACAAUUCUUCUACAAGUAGCUGUAAUCAGAGACAAGGUGAUUGUAGGACAGAGGAGGAAAACUAAUUAAUAUACUACAACAACAACCGAAAACAUAUAUAUACUGUAUAAAUAAAAGCUUAUUGUUACAGUCGUUACUAUUAUUAUUCUUCAUUGUGAUUCAUAGCAGCAAUUAAAACAACAGUUACAGGACAAUA